RNAcentral lists this long non-coding RNA (1569 nucleotides) under Homo sapiens (human). Its description in RNAcentral is "HSALNT0077478". Lineage: Eukaryota; Metazoa; Chordata; Mammalia; Primates; Hominidae. The record is from RNAcentral.
CUGCCUGAGUAUUACUCCAGCCCACUGGGUUUGUUCCUUUCACUCGGACCGGCAGGCUGCGCUCAGCUCACAUUACCAGCCUGGAUCCCAUACCUGCCAAGGGCGAGCCAGAUGCAGAGCGACAGAGGUGUGUGGGAAGAAUGAAGUAUGCAGACAAUUGGAGGGUGAGCAAGGCGAAGAGGAGCUUCCUUGAGCGACAGAACAGCUCUCAGGAAACCGGAAGUAAGUAGUUCCUUUCCACAGGCACGUCUUCCGAUGUCCGUGCAGCCCUCCGCAGAGAGCAGACCCAGAGUGUGUAACUCCUACCCACAGGCAGGUUGUCCGCACAUCUGUUGGAGUCUGGCUGAGUCAGGGUUUUUAAGGGUUCAGAGGGGAGGAAGUAUGUGCUGAUUGGUCUAUGGGCAGCCAUGGGUGGGCCUGGAAAAAACACCUUAAGUUCUCACUCUGGUCUGUGGAUUCCACCCUGAACUGACAGCCCAGCCCCCAUGCUUUGGGCAGUUCCUCGCUUGAAGGUAGGGCUUCACUGAGGACCCACCCCUUUCUGCCCAGAAGCCUGUCUGCCGCUUGCCACCAUCAAUCAUAUUCAUGGCGCCCAGGCUGUUUGUGCUGAGGAGCGCCUGAAGGCCUGCAGCGAGCUGGCUCAGUGCCCCCAUGCUCGUUGGCACCCAAAGUCCAGAGGGGGCCACGGUGGCAGGGGGCUGACAUGUCAGUGCCACCCCAAGCGCUCACACACCCAGCUGGGUUGCAACAGCACUUGGGCUUGGCCUCAACUUUGCUCUGCACCUGGAACAGGCACCGGGAGCAGGGAGAGGCCAGGCAGUGGGAGCAGGCACUUUGAAGCCUGCAGCGGCAGGGGAGCUUUCUGUGGCUCCCAAGAGCGCAGGAAAUGCCUGGGUCUGGAGCUACAGCUGUGCAUAGUAGGGAGGGGCUUCCAGCCUACCAACUCGGAAUGGGUUGGGGCUCCUUCCUGUUCCUGGCUCCUGCCCACUCUACGGAGCACGCAGCUCUGGCCUUGCCUUCCCUGCUGCAGCCAGCGUCUUCAGAGCAGCUUCUCAAGAUGGGCAGCCACUGCCAUCAGAAGUCCAAAACAAGAAUUCCUGACUGGCAACGUAGAAAUUGGUUUCUUCAGGAAGCCUUCCCUGCUUCUCUAGUUUGAGAGCUUACAAAAAGCUUGAUUGAAAAGAGAAGAGAAUGGAACACGGUAUGAUGACAACAAAGAGAAAAGGAGCCAAGAUUAGUCUGGACAGUAUGCAGACAUUGACUCUGCUUUGAGGACAGAGCUGGAAUUAAUUUCACGUGCACCACAUAAGGUACUUAGAGUCGGAAAGAAGGAAAAAUAAAAUAUAUUUUAUGAAUUGAAAUUUUAAAAUUUCAAAUAAGUUCACAUUCAAAUUAAGCGACCAGAGGAAAUGAUAUUCGUAGGAUUACAGGCCCUAAAAUGUAUACCCAGAAGAAAAUUGGAUCAGAAUGGAGGCAGUUUGAGUUUAAAAAUGUAGGAAGAUUCCACAAUGAUUAGAAUGAGUACUGUGAGUAUUUGAUUUUGUUCUAAUUAAGAAGAUACUGAUAAGG